RNAcentral lists this ribosomal RNA (482 nucleotides) under uncultured bacterium. RNAcentral describes it as "partial 16S ribosomal RNA". It matches the Rfam family "Bacterial small subunit ribosomal RNA", at positions 30 to 507 of the family's 1533-position model. The record is from RNAcentral.
AUUGAACGCUGGCGGCAUGCUUUACACAUGCAAGUCGAACGGUAACAGGCCGCAAGGUGCUGACGAGUGGCGAACGGGUGAGUAAUGCAUCGGAACGUGCCCAGUCGUUGGGGAUAACUACUCGAAAGGGUAGCUAAUACCGCAUACGAUCUAUGGAUGAAAGCGGGGGACCGUAAUGCCUCGCGCGAUUUGAGCGGCCGAUGUCAGAUUAGGUAGUUGGUGGGGUAAAGGCUGACCAAGCCAACGAUCUGUAGCUGGUCUGAGAGGACAACCAGCCACACUGGGACUGAGACACGGCCCAGACUCCUACGGGAGGCAGCAGUGGGGAAUUUUGGACAAUGGGCGCAAGCCUGAUCCAGCAAUGCCGCGUGCAGGAAGAAGGCCUUCGGGUUGUAAACUGCUUUUGUACGGAACGAAACGGCUCUGGUUAAUACCCGGGGAUAAUGACGGUACCGUAAGAAUAAGCACCGGCUAACUACGUG